This 75-nucleotide transfer RNA is filed under the name Methanomethylicia archaeon. Its description in RNAcentral is "Candidatus Methanomethylicia archaeon tRNA-Val". It matches the Rfam family "tRNA". Rfam says of the family: Transfer RNA (tRNA) molecules are approximately 80 nucleotides in length. Their secondary structure includes four short double-helical elements and three loops (D, anti-codon, and T loops). The record is from RNAcentral. Lineage: Archaea; Thermoproteati; Thermoproteota; Methanosuratincolia.
GGGCCGGUAGUCUAGCAUGGUUAGGACGCUGCCUUGACGCGGCAGAGGUCUCCGGUUCAAGUCCGGACCGGCCCA